UGGACAGCUGAACGGAAGUGAAGCUAACACGUCACCAAUUCCCAGACUUAGAUUCUGCAGCCUGGCGCCCCGCAUUGCAACAGCAGAGCCCCCAUGCUGUAGGAGUGACCAGCAUGGGCCCUGUGUGGCAGGAAGGGCUCCAAUUCCAGAGCAUUGAACAAUCAAAAGGCCUGAAAACUAUCUAUUUUAUUCAACUAAUUUAAACCUAGGAAAACCUCAAAUACCCAAGAAAAGUCAGCAGUGGAUAGGGAGACUGGCCCUCAGACCUCUGCUCCCCACCCUGUUCAGCAGUCCUUUCACCACACUCCGCUGCAGCCCUGCUGAGUCCAAUUCUGCUCUGGGAGCAAUUCCCAGUGGACACGUGGCAGUCCAACAAGACAGUGUUAUAACAGCAGGCUCCAAAUCAAAGGAAAAGCAGAAGACAACACACACUGUUUUAAAUAUCAUAGAGAGACCAUCCCUGAAGUUGUUUAUCGUGAUUCAGACAUGGACAAGCUUUGGGAUCUUGGACAAGUCACUUCACAUCUCUGGACUUUGUUUCUGCAGUCCUCUCUGGCCCUCCGUUCUGAGUCCCCAUGGAUAGAACUGAUCAUCACUAGAGAGAAAGGAGAGCCACAGACCUAAUCUCCCAGGUGUCAGUUAUUAACUCCACCAGUAUAACAUGCCCUCUGAGGAGUGGUGGCAGUGGCCAUCUGCAGUCCACCUCCGCAGCAAGAUGAAGCCUCCUGGAGAAGCCAUGGAGGUGGAGAGAGAUUCAGGCUCCUAACUCGGCCCAGCCCUGCACAAACACAGGGAAACUGCACCUGGGAUUGAAAGCAUUAAUUUAGAAUUUCGUUGUCCUGGGCAUUCCAGCAACUCUGUGAUUCUCUAUUAGAGUUGAAGACACUGAGGCUCUGAGAGGUCACAUAAUUGUCCAAAGGGUGUAAGGGUACGAUGAGAGGGGACAGAGAGAGAGAGAGAUAGAGACAGCAUGCACUUGAGGUUUGAGACCCUCGAGGUGGAAGGACAUGUCAGCUUUAACUUGUUGACUGUCUUCUGUGACAAGAACUUUACAUACUUUAUCUCAUUAAAUCCUCACAAUAGCCAUGCAAUGUAGGUGUCAAAAACCCAUAUUACAAAAGAGUAAAAUGAAGUUGAGACAGGUCAGAGUGAUUCCAGGCACACAGCUGUUGGAUGACAGCACUGGUCUUCUCACUUGCUUUUUCUGAUUCCCAAAUCUUUGAUCUUCCCACUCUCUUGGGAUGCCUCAAGGCUGUGUGGACACACGGCCAGAACAUUCCUCCACUCAAUGUUGUGUAACCACAGGACAAAGAAGAAGACAGUGGCCUUCAACACUUGAUGUGAAAAUGUGGCAUGAGAAGAGCCAGUGAUCAAUCCAAUCUUGAUCAGAAUGUCAUUACCUCUGGUGAGAAAGCCACUGUCUGAGCACCUCUGGUCACCUUAUCCUGUGCCUUGUCAUCAGGUACACGAUAUGUGGGAGAGUCUGGAAUCCUCAUAAGGAAAGGACGGAGGCAGGGCUGUGAUAGAAAGCCCGUCUCCUUCCCUAGCUCUUUGCCUCAAUUAGCUUAAGAUACAAAUAGCCCCACAUAGUCUCACAAAGUCUUUCUACGAGUUGCCAAGUUGCGUUGUUUCCCACGGAACUGUAACAUUUUAUGAAUACAGUUAUUUAUGAGUGGUUCCACCCUAGUGGGAAAAAGAUAGGUUACAG
Molecule: long non-coding RNA, 1708 nt
Filed under: Homo sapiens (human)
Lineage: Eukaryota; Metazoa; Chordata; Mammalia; Primates; Hominidae
Description: PREDICTED lncRNA (TCONS_00160618)
Source: RNAcentral